Numida meleagris (helmeted guineafowl) is the source of this 1474-nucleotide long non-coding RNA. RefSeq lists it as uncharacterized. The transcript has 2 exons. Lineage: Eukaryota; Metazoa; Chordata; Aves; Galliformes; Numididae. The record is from RefSeq and is a predicted model, not a curated record.
GCUUUUCACUGUGAACCCGCAUCUUCUGAUAUGGAUUAGAGACCUUGCCAAGGCACAGACUACUGUGCCUCACAUGGAAAAAUUACAGAGGGCUUGUGGUGUGGAGACAACCCUUAGUUCUUAGGAUCUGUAGCUGGGUCUCUUGGUACAGAAGACAGCUCUGCUGAGAUACUGGAACUACAGAAAUUCACACUCAUCUGAAUCUUUUGGAGCCUUGAUUUCUAUUUCUUGUGCUGAGCCUGAACUGCUGCCUUGACUUAAACUAUUUUCUUCUAAUCCUGUCUACAAUUACCAUUAGUGAAUUUAGCUGCAGAAAUCCCAGGAAGAAUGCCCUAAUAUAUCAGUGGUUGAUGAGCUAAUCAAAAAUAUUUCCAUCCCUGAUACCUUCUAGAAGAGCUUCACAUGUGCUACAAGAAACCAGACAGAAGUGAAUCCCUUGGCCUUUGAAACUAGUGUCAGCCAUUUCUACCUGUUCAUUUAACAUCAAAUGAAUAAAAGUUCCCAGCUUCGGCUCCAGGAUCUUGCACACAUCUAAACUAAGAAGAUGUGAGAUAAAGGAAAGAAACAUGGCAUAAGAGCCAGGAAAGGAAAAUAUAGCAGAAGAGAAAGAAAGCAAACUAAAAGAAAAAAAGAAAACCAGUAGUGUUGGAAUCUCCAAAUGAGAUCAGAACUCUGUGAUGUUAGCUAGAAUUCUUGCACGUUGUAUAAGAUGGUACCAGUACUCCAAUUUGAUCUGGAAGACAGACUAGAGGUGGAAAAUAAGGACAUAGGAAGAUCUGAUACUAGUGAAGGUAUGAAACAUAACAGCAACCCUACAUAGGGGAAGGCUGAUAAAAAAAGGCCAAGGAGCUAUGUUCAUGCUUAGAAAGAAGCAAAAUCGCUUCUGAUAGAUUCUUGGCAAUACCAGGCAAAGUAUUCACAGGGAAGCCAAUAGUCAUAUACAGAAAGAAGAGCUGAACUCAUCCAGCUGGUGAAGGGGCUGCCUGGCUAUGCAACACUCCUCAGAAAGCAGCCUAAGUCCAAGUGAUGCUUUCCCUACAGUGACUGGCCCUUGUAUGAGCCCAGAGUAGCUCCAUGCUUGGUCCACCCCUUCUGGUCAUGUGGGGAGCACACGUACAAACAAUUUGCCUGUGCUCCCUAGGCCAACCACACCCCUUCACAGGGGCUCAAUCAUCAUUUCAAGCCCUCACCUAACAGUUCCCCUACAAUGCUGAUUGUGCCACUUGUGCCUAUACUCAUCAUUCAAAGAUUAAUUACUCUAACAUGGCUUGAAAAAUUACACAUGGGUGGAAGCAAAGGGAAUCUGUGUGCAUCUUGAUAAAGGGACGUGACUGGCAUGGCCAGCUCCUGGUUCCUGUUGCCCUAGCUUGCCUCAGAGCUUAAGAACAAAGAUGGGGCCCCGACUAGUCACCCAGUGCUUCCUCUGAUGGGCUGGGUCAUAAUUUCUGGCAGGUGCUUUCCAUGAGUGAGAGGU